Molecule: non-coding RNA, 8788 nt
Organism: Durio zibethinus
Lineage: Eukaryota; Viridiplantae; Streptophyta; Magnoliopsida; Malvales; Malvaceae
Source: RefSeq, a predicted model, not a curated record
UUCGUCACACUCCGCUGCCCAUCACAUCUGUUAUUCGCUGUAUAUAACCCUAGUAAUUAAAACUUGCUUACAUUGAGUCGCCUUUGUCAAAUUAAUUUUCGCUUUGUUCUGUUAUUGAAAACAGAAGGCAAAAUGAAUUAGCUUUCCUUGCCCUUUGGUAAGUGGGAGAAUUAGUUGCUGAGCCUGAACCAAUCUUUUGAAGAAAGGCAGAUUUUCUCAUAUUUUGAGUAGGUACGCUCCUAAAGACCCUUCCAAUUUUAGGCCCUUUGCUUUGGCUCGGUGUUAGUUGCUAAUAUUAGAGGCUUUUCUUUCUACUUGUUUUAUUGUAAUUUUCUUUUCUGGUUUAGCUCCACUUUUGUUCUCUGUUUUCCUUUUUCUUUACCUACAGAUUUUGUUAUUCAGUUUGCUUACGGUUUGUUUCUCGCAACUUAGAGAAAAAAAAAGAAAAAAAGGAAAAAAAAUGGAGUUUCUUGUUGCCAUCGUUAGCUCUUUUGUCGCCACAGCUGCAAAGUACACGAUCUCUCCCAUCAAAAACCAUAUCAAAUACUUUUCCAAUCAUGAGAACCAUAUUCAGACCCUCAAGAAUCAAGCUGAGAGCCUGAAGGAUGCGAGAGAAAGAGUGCAGCACUCGGUUGAUGCUGCUAAACGAAACGGGGAAGAGAUCGAACAGGAUGUUGACAAGUGGUUGACUACAGUCAACAAGAAGAUCGCUGAAGAAGUGGAGAAAGUAAUGCGAGAUGAAGAAGACGCAAAGAAAAAGUGUUUCAUUGGCUUGUGUCCUAAUAUAUGGACUCGUUACAAGCUUAGCGUGAAAGCUGAAGAGGAGGCGAAGGCUGUUGCUGAGCUACUCGAGCAGGCCGAAUUUGACAGGGUUUCUUUUCGUGCAGCUCCACAAGGUAUCGUUGGCGCAUCAGUUAAAGGUUUCGAAGAAUUCGAGUCAAGGACGUUGGUUUUGAAUGGAAUCUUGGAGGCACUGAAAGAUGCUAGUGUCAACGUUAUAGGGGUGCACGGGAUGGGUGGCAUAGGAAAGACUACACUAGUCAAAGAAGUUGUUAGACAGGUCAAGGAGGGCAAGUUAUUUAAUUCCGUAGUUUUAGCAACCGUAACUCAGACCCUUGAUGUUAAGGGAAUUCAAGACCAAAUUGCAGAUUUAUUGGGUUUAAGAUUUGACGAACAGAGUAUGGUAGGAAGGGCACAUCGACUGCAAGAAAGAUUGAAAAAAGAGGAGAAGAUUCUUGUUGUUUUGGAUGAUAUAUGGGCAAGAUUAGAUCUUGAGGAAGUUGGGAUUCCUUUUGGAAAUGAACAUGAGGGAUGCAAGAUUCUGCUAACUUCUAGAGAUCUCAAUGUCUUAUCAAGUGGGAUGGAUACUCAGAAAAAUUUUGCAGUUGGCCUUUUAAAUGAAGAAGAAGCCUGGGACCUGUUUAAGAAGAUGGCUGGUGACUGUGUUGAAAGUUGUGAUUUACAGGCUACAGCUAUUGAAGUAGCAAAGAAAUGUGCGGGACUGCCAAUCGCCAUUGCAACAGUUGCAAGGGCUUUGAGAAACAAAAGUUUGUUUGAAUGGAAGAGUGCUUUGUGUGAACUAAAGAGGCCUUCAUCAAGAAACUUUAAAGGUGUAACAGCAGGCGUAUAUUCAGCUAUAGAGUUGAGUUACAAUUAUUUAGAAAGCGAGGAAGUUAAGUUGACUUUCUUGCUUUGCAGUUUCUUAGGCCAUAAUGGGUUGAUUGAUGACGUGUUGAAAUAUAUAAUCGGUCUGGGUUUGUUUCAUGGCGUCCACACAAUAGAGGAAGCAAGAAACAGAGUAUUGACAGUGGUGAGUAACCUGAAAGCCUUAUGUCUGUUGCUUGAUAGUUACAACGGUGAACGGUUUGAUAUCCAUGACGUCGUUUGGUAUGUUGCUACAUCAAUUGCAAAUAGGGACCUCGGCAUGUUUGCGUUAAUAAAUGGUGAUGUGCUGAAACAGUGGCCUGAAAACGAGGCGAUGAGAAAUUGCAGUGCGAUUAAUUUACUUAAUCCUAAUAUUAGUGAGCUUCCUGAGGAGAUGGAGUGUUCACUUCUUUCCUUUUUCCAUAUGGCCCAUGAAGGUACAGUGAAAAUUCCCGCCAACUUCUUUAGACGAACAGAAAGACUCAAUGUCUUAGAUUUGACUGGAAUGCACUUUCUAUCCCUACCAGUGUCAAUUGAACUCCUCGCAAACCUUCACACGUUGUGUCUAAACCAAUGUACACUAGAUGACAUAACCAUUGUUGGGAAGCUCAAGAAUUUAGAAAUCCUUAGCCUUGCUCGAUCGGACAUUAAAGCACUACCUCAGGAGAUAGCACAAUUGACUCAGUUAAGGAUGCUAGAUUUGAGUGAUUGUACUAGACUCAAAAUUAUCCCACCAAAUGUCUUGUCGAGUUUGUCCAAAUUAGAAGAAUUAUAUAUGGACAAUGGCUUUGUUCAAUGGGAAGAUGAAGUACUCGGCAAAGAAAGAAGAAAUGCUAGUCUUGAGGAGUUAAAGCAUUUGUCUUAUCUGACCACAUUAUAUGCUCAUAUUCCUAAUGCCCAACUAAUUCCAAAACAUCUGUUCAUUGAGCCAUUGGACAGAUACAGGAUUCUGAUUGGAGAUGAGUGGGAGUGGUCCAAUGACUAUGAAUACUCAAGAACAUUGAAAUUCAAGUUGCAUACAAGCAUUUACAGGGAUCAUGGGGUAAAAAUAUUGAUGAACAAGACUGAAGAUUUACAUCUGGAUCAACUUAAAGGCAUCAAGAAUGUACUUGCUGAGUUAAAUAAUGGGGAAGAUUUUCCACAUUUAAAGAAACUUCACAUCCAAAAUGGUCGGGAGGUCCAAUAUAUUGCAACAGAGAAAAUUAAACUUUCUCAAUUGCAGUCCAUGACACUUGAAGGUCUGCCACAGCUCAUUACCUUCUGCUCUCAAGACAAAAGGUGUUCCACAUCCCAGCAGGAGGGAAACACGAGCUCUGAGCCCUUGCCACUUUUCAAUAAACAGCUUGUGUUACCUCACUUGGAAAGCCUGCGAUUGUCCUCAAUUAACGCCAAAAGAAUAUGGCACAACCAGCUUUCAGAGGCAAGUUAUGGCGUUCCGAAUUUAACGAGCUUGAUCAUUGAGGGCUGUGACAGCUUGGAAUAUCUAUUAUCGCCCUCUAUUGCUAGAAGUCUGGUGCAGCUCAAACACUUAAAGAUCGGGGAAUGCAUGUGCUUAAGAGAUGUAAUAUCUACAGAGGGAAUAGAAGAAGAAAAGGAAGGUGUGAUUUGUUUCCCUCGAUUAGACUCGCUGGAGAUAAAGUAUCUUCGUAAUUUCAUCAAAUUCUGCUCAGGAAAUUAUAAUAUUGAGUUCCCUGCCUUGAAAGUACUGAAGAUCAAGCACUGCCGAAAAUUAAGAGAAUUUAUUGAUGAAAGUAAAAUGGAGGGGGACUAUCAAUCCAGUAUACAAGCUCUCUUCAAUGAGAAGGCCGCAGUUCCUAGCUUGGAAAGGAUGAAAAUCUCCCAUUUGGGAAAUGUGAAGAAGAUAUUUCAUAACGAACUUCUGGCUGGUUCUUUUUGUAAAUUAGAAGAAAUGAUAGUUGAAAACUGUGAUGAGUUGUUGACUGUUUUUUCAUCUACUAUAGUCGGAGUAUUUAGCUGUCUGGGAAAGCUUACAGUGAACGACUGUGGUUCACUACAACAGAUAUUUGAGGCUGGAGGGUUAAAUAUCAAAGAAAUACGUGCUGUAGAUUGCCAACUAAGAGAAUUGUUCAUUUAUGACCUACCAAAACUGGAGCAUGUUUGGAACGAUCCCCUUGGAAUUCUUGCAUUUCAAAAUCUGCGAAAAGUAGCUGUUUGGGAUUGUCCGAGUUUGAAAAAUCUAUUUCCAUUGUCAAUUGCCAAAGAUCUUCCACAACUUGAAUCUCUAAUGGUGAGUAGUUGUGGGGUGGAGGAGAUUGUGUCGGCAGGGGAAGGAUUGGAGAAGCCUUUUAGGUUCAAGUUUCCUCAAGUGUCUUCCCUGCGGCUUAUAUGCCUGAAUGGGCUCAAAUGUUUCUAUCCAGGGCAACACACAAUAGUCUGGCCCAUGUUGAAAAAAUUGGGGACAGAUUAUUCAACUUUACUGAAGAUGGUAGCUUCCGAACGUCUUAGCAUCCAAGAAUUGAAUGGGAAUGACCAACGAGAAUGUACAAUUCGACAGCCACUUUUCUUGGUUGAAGAGGUAAUUCCCAAAUUAGAGGAACUGUGGUUAGAAAAAAUUGAUGAUAUUGCAAUGAUAUGUGAUGGCCAGUUGCCAGUGGAAUUCUUUCACCAGAUAAAAGUUUUUGUGCUGCAUGGUUCCCUAAUUAGUGGAUCUGCUAGUUUUCCAAUUAGUUUCUUCCAACUAUUCUACAAUCUGGAAAUUGUUGAAUUUUUUGACUGCAACUUCAAAUAUCUAGUCUCUUGUGAAGGAAAUGUUGCUGAGAAGGAAGAUGCUGCGACACCUCUCCCUCGACUUAGAAAGUUAAAAUUGAAUUAUUCUAAAAGUCUUACACAUAUAUGGAAGAAAGAUUCAAUGCUAGCCUACAUUCUUCCUAAUCUUGAAACUCUUGAAGUCGAGGGAUGUGAUGAUUUGAUAAGUUUUGGAUCCUCACCCUCUUCAGCAUCUUUUCAAAAUCUCACAACUUUGGAAGUGCAAUGGUGCAACAUGAUGGUAAACUUGGUUACAGCCUCAGUAGUCCAGAAUCUGGUACAAUUAACGACAAUGAGGAUAGUGUAUUGCGAUACAAUGACAGAAGUUAUUGCAAUCGAGGGAUCAGAUGGAGCAACAUAUAAUGAGAAAAUAUUUUUCAGGAAAUUGAAAUAUUUAGAACUUAGCGGUUUACAGAGCCUCACAAGCUUUUGUCCAGGGAAUUAUGCCUUCAAGUUUCCUUGUUUGGAACAAUUAAUUGUGAAUGGGUGUCCUAGCUUGAAAAUCUUUUCUCAGGGUGUUGUAAGCACCCCACGAUUACAAAGAGUAAAAGAGUCGCGUAAUCAUCGCAAAGGGCGUUGGACUGGUGACCUUAAUAGCACCAUACAGCAGUUGUACACAGAAAAGGUUGGAUGCCAUCAUUUCAAAUUCUCGGACACAUUUCCCGAGUUGAUGGAAAUAUGGAAUAUCAACCCUCAAGAAAUUUUGGACUUCAAAAACCUUAGAAGUGUCAAAUUUUGUAAUUGUAGCAGCUUGAAAUACAUAUUUACUCUCUCUAUGGCUUUGAGCCUCAAGCGACUUUACCAAUUAGAAGUAAAAGAAUGCAGUACAAUGGAAGAAGUCAUCGUGGAGCAGGGCGUUGAGGAGGAACCAACGACAGAUAAGUUAACAAUAUUCCCCUGGCUUUGGAACAUAGAAAUUGAAUCAUGUCUCAACCUGACAAGUUUUUAUUUGGGAAGUCAAGCUCUUGAAUUUCCAUCGUUGCAAAUAAUUAAAAUAGCUGACUGUCCAAAAAUGACUACAUUUUCAAGAGACAAGGAGGAAGGGACAGCUGGCGAUGGAAAGAAAAAAAGGCUUGGUCAGGACGUCUAUAUUACUGCAACCUUUUUCAGCCAUAAGGUUGUCUAUCCCAAGUUGGAGAGUUUGGAUUUGUCCUCAAUUAACAUUCAAAGGAUAUGGCACGAGCAACUACUCCCAUCCUCGUCAUAUAUUGAGAAAUUAGAAUUCUUGAGGGUGAAGAGCUGUCACAAUUUGAAAUAUAUGUUUCCAUCUUUCAUGGCAAAAGAUUUUGUGCAACUCCAUAGCCUCAAAAUUUUGGACUGUAAGAUCAUGGAAGAAGUAAUCUUAAUUGAAGGAUUUCCAGAAGAGGAAAGGAUGAGCCAGAUGUUGUUCCCUGAACUAAAUUUCCUGUCGCUCGAAGACCUUCCCAAACUCACAAGAUUCUGCUUUGAACCUUACUUUAAAUUCCCAUGUUUGAGAAUUUUAAGACUAACAAAUUGUCCUUUACUGAAAACAUUCAUCUCUAAAUCUGUAACUGGAGAUAAGCCUCAAAUUCAUCAAAAUACAGAAGGCAGUAACGUGGAGGUUGAUAAUUCCUCUCUCUUCAAUGAAAAGGUGGUUUUCCCUAGUUUAGAGGAGUUGACAGUCAAAGGUAUGAGGGACUGUAGAAAGAUAUGGCAGGACCAAAUAGGUAUGGAUUCAUUUAGCAAACUAAAGGAAAUACUGGUUGAAGGCUGUGAAACACUCUUAAAUGUUUUUCCCUUGAGCAUGAUGGAAAGACUUGAGGAACUAGACAAGUUGGAGAUUGUGAAUUGUGAUUCGUUAGAAGAAAUAAUUGACCCACGAGGACUCAUUGCUAAUGAAUCACAUGCAGUAACAGCUACUGAAUCUAUUGUGGUAGAAGCAGCGAUUAAAUUUGUAUUUCCCAGAGUAACAUAUCUUCGACUUGAUGAAUUGCCCAAAUUGAAAAGUUUCUACUCUAGGAUGCAUGCUAUAGAAUGGCCAUCACUCAAAAAAAUGGAGCUGAUUUCUUGUUACAAAGUAGAGUUAUUUGCUUCAAAAUGCCUUUGCUUUGGAGAGACUCAUUCAGAGAGUCAGCUGGGUGAAAUCUCAAAUAAACAACCCCUGUUUUGGGUCAAUGAGGAUACUUUCCCUGUCUUAAAAGAAUUGACAUGGAAGCGGAACGAUAUGAUGAAAGGGAUAUGGCAUGGACAAGUCUCAUUGGAGUGUUUCAGAAAACUAGAAGUUAUUAACCUCGAAUGCUUUCCUGACACAUCAACAGCUGCUCUUCCAUAUUGCUUCCUUCGGUCAUUACCCAAUCUAGAGAAGAUUGUCUUGAAUGAAGCUUCCUUCUGUCAAAUAUUCCAGUUUGAAGGGAUCAGCGAUGAGGAAAGACAUACAUCAGCACUCACUCAAAUAAAGAAAUUGAGGUUGUCUAAACUUCCAGAGUUGACACAUCUCUGGAAGGAAGAAUUCAAUCCUAGAGCAACUUUAUGUAACAUGAGAAUUCUUGAAGUGCUGGAAUGUGGACAAUUAAAGUCUUUAGUGCCAUCAUCGGUGUCUUUUGAAAAUUUAACAACUCUGGAAGUUUCAAGAUGUCAUGGAUUCGUCAAUUUAAUAGCGUGCUCAACAGCUAAAAGCCUGAUGCUACUAGAAAGAAUGAGCAUAACUGAUUGCAAGAUGAUAGAGGAAAUCAUAGCUUGUGAGGGUGAAGAAAUAAAAGGUGGCAUUAUUUUCACCAAACUGAAGUAUCUGCGGCUAAGUUGUCUACCAAGUCUAAUAAGCUUUUGCUUAGGGGAUCACAUCUUUGAAUUCCCGGCCUUGAGAAGGGUAAUUGUAAAAGAGUGCCCAAAAAUGAAAAAUUUCUGUGAAGGAGUUUUAAGCACACCAAAGCUGCAACAAGUGCAAUUGACAGAAGAUGAAGAUGAAGAUGAAGUAAAAGUGCGGUGGGAAGGUGACUUUAAAACUACUGUAAAACAGCUGUUCGAAGAAAUGAAUGUCCAAAAUUCUGAAGUGACAGAGGUGACCCAUCAGUUGGACAAGCUGGAAUAAGGCAACAUGUUUUGGUGCUUGUGAGACAAUCUCAUUUUCCUUUCAAUUCAAAUCGGAUGGAAAAGUGACGUGGGAGUUGCCUUCUGAUCGUUGAAUGUUGAAUUGUUCUACUGAAGUUGGAGACUGCCAUUUUCCUUUAAACUCAAAAGGUGCAACAUGCAUGGCACUGCAAAUUACAACAUGUAUUAUUUUACUUGCAAAGUCAAUCAGCUUAAGACUGCGGAAUUUCAAAAUUACCAAAAUUUGUUCUUCAAGGUUGAUGGAUUUUCCAAUAUGUUAUGGAUAUCAUUAAGUCUCUCAUCCUUCAUCCAUUUCGACAACAUUAUGCGACAGAAUAGUAUAUUCUUUUGCUGAUAUGAAGCAAAAAUGAGAUCAAACUUGGCUCUUUGCCUGCGAGGCUCAGUGAUAAAGAUUGUUCUCCUAUGGUUGAGAAAAUCACUAAGAGAAUCAACAAUUGGACGUCCAAGCACCUAUUUUAUGCUGGGAGGCUUUAACUUGUCCAGUCACUUUUCUUUGGUAUGCAAAACCUCUAGUGUAGUCAAUUCAUUGUUCCCCAAAAAGUGACAAAAUAAAGUGACUCAAUUCUGUUUUGCUUUAUUUUGGAAGGGGAUGGAAAAUUCUACGAUUAUUAGUUGGGAUUUCAUUUGUCAAGGGGACAUGAUUUGAAAAAUCUUAAGGAGUGGAAUCAAGCAUGUAUCUUGAAGAACAUCUGGAUUCUCCUUACAAAAUAUGGCUCGUUAUGGGCUGCAUAGGUUUCUACUUAGGUGCUUGGGGGGGUGAGAUUCUUUAUAAAUCUAGUCUUCCAAGAAAUAAAGAGAUAGUUUGUUAAUUCUCUUUACUUGUAUUGUUUUUCUUGGUAAUGUUGUUUAGUAGAAUUUUUCAUCUGAUAGCACUGUUUCAUAUAAAAGGAAAAUUUUUAUUAUUUAUUAUCAAAAUUAAAUCAUAAAUAGAUUUACUGUUGUUUUUUAGUAAUAUUUUAUCUUAAUUUUGAUUUGGAAUCAUUCUAGAUAAUUUUGCAUUGUUGAUUUUUUUUUUUAUCAAAUCAAAUUGAGUUGUAUCGAGACAAAAUAGAAAAUUUCAACUUUAGACAGUUUUGAUGGCUCGAAUGAUGCAAGGUUGGGUUAGUUAAUUUAAGGCCAUAUUGAUAUCAAACCUCAUCCAUCAUCUUCAUGUCAUGGUUAUUGUUUAGCACUUGAUAUAUGAAGAAGCAUAUUAUCGUAGCCUAGCUGUUAGUUAGCCAUUUACAUAACAAUAAUUAAUCAACAUGCAGUAUUACAUCCUAACACCUGUAAUUUUUUUUUUUUUAACUUUAAGUUGCUGGUUACGGCC